RNAcentral lists this ribosomal RNA (253 nucleotides) under uncultured bacterium. RNAcentral describes it as "partial 16S ribosomal RNA". It matches the Rfam family "Bacterial small subunit ribosomal RNA", at positions 524 to 776 of the family's 1533-position model. The record is from RNAcentral.
CACGUAGGGUGCAAGCGUUGUCCGGAUUCAUUGGGCGUAAAGGGCUAGUAGGCGGCUUAGCAAGUCGGGUGUGAAAGCCCGGGGCUUAACCCCGGGUCUGCAUUCGAUACGGGCAGGCUAGAGUGUGGUAGGGGAGAUCGGAAUUCCUGGUGUAGCGGUGAAAUGCGCAGAUAUCAGGAGGAACACCGGUGGCGAAGGCGGAUCUCUGGGCCAUUACUGACGCUGAGGAGCGAAAGCGUGGGGAGCGAACAGG